UUUUGCUAUACCAGCUGCUGCCCCAGCUGAUGCUGUACAGGGUGUUGGUGGUGGAGGAGGAAGUGUUGGGGAACUCAGGGUUCAUUGGGAGAAAUUACCUAUAGGACAACACGGUGGACCCGGUCUACAUUAUAAAGUUUACUGGAGAAAGAAAGAUAAUAUUUAUGGCAAAUGGCUUGUAUCGGAUCCACCUGUAGCAGGUGAAAAGGAAGUAUUUAUCACUAUAAUAGAAUAUCAGUAUUAUUAUACCGAGUAUGAAGUGAAAGUAGGAGUAGUAAAUGAUCUGGGAGCUGGACCAAACACUACAGUAGUUGUUAUAUUUUCAGCCGAGGAUAUGCCACUUGCAACACCGGCUAACGUGAAUGGCGCGGAGCUUAACGCCACAGCAGCUGACAUAUUCUGGGAUCCAUGUCCAGACGAUCGGGAACAUAUGAAAGGCCGUGUUCUAGGCUAUCAGGUCAAUUAUUGGCUGGAGGGUAUGACGUACCAAGAUGCCCUGUUUAGUCGCCAUCUUGGACAAGCCGAUUUCGGUCGGAUAAUCGGACUGGAUGAGAAUUCUGACUACUGGGUGAACGCCCAAGUGUACAAUACAGCAGGUUUAGGACCAAAAAGUGAAGAUGCCAGAGUUUCAACUUGGGCGUCGCCACCGUUUUUAUAUCCUGAAUAUGUGAAUGUAACAUCUCGAGAUGAGAGCAGUAUCAAUGUCUGGUGGAGAGGUAUAAGCACUACAAUACUAGAGGAGGCUCUCAGAGGAUAUAAGCUGCGUUACUGGGAAUCGUCACAAAAUAUGAAUACAGCCCAGGAAGUGGUUGUAGGCAAGGUAACCCAUGCUGUAAUACCCAACGUAGAGAGGGGAAUCACCUACAGUCUACGUGUGUUGGGCUAUAGUUAUGGUGGAGAUGGCAAGAAAUCGCCUACCGUGUAUUUUACUUUAGGUGGACAACUGCAAGGGGUAGAUCUCUACACCACUGAAAUUCUGGCUAGAGGUUUUACCACCCGGAUGUCGCUAACUCUAAUUAUAACGAGCUUAAUCAGCACUUGGUUUUUCUAACCAUGACAAC
This is a long non-coding RNA of Patella vulgata (common limpet), 1061 nucleotides long. RefSeq lists it as uncharacterized. The transcript has 7 exons. The record is from RefSeq and is a predicted model, not a curated record. Lineage: Eukaryota; Metazoa; Mollusca; Gastropoda; Patellidae.